RNAcentral lists this ribosomal RNA (430 nucleotides) under Bacteroidota bacterium. Its description in RNAcentral is "Bacteroidetes bacterium partial 16S ribosomal RNA". It matches the Rfam family "Bacterial small subunit ribosomal RNA", at positions 355 to 776 of the family's 1533-position model. The record is from RNAcentral. Lineage: Bacteria; Pseudomonadati; Bacteroidota.
UAGGGAAUCUUCGGCAAUGGGGGGAACCCUGACCGAGCAACGCCGCGGGAGUGAAGAAGGUUUUCGGAUCGUAAAGCUCUGUUGUUAAGGAAGAACGAGUGUGAGAAUGGAAAGUUCAUACUGUGACGGUACUUAACAAGAAAGGGACGGCUAACUACGUGCCAGCAGCCGCGGUAAUACGUAGGUCCCGAGCGUUGUCAGGAGUUAUUGGGCGUAAAGCGAGCGCAGGCGGUCAAUUAAGUCUUGUGUGAAAGCCCCCGGCUGAACCGGGGGGGGUCAUUGGAAACUGGUUGACUUGAGUUCUGAAGAGGAGAGUGGAAUUCCAUGUGUAGCGGUGAAAUGCGUUGGUUUAUGGAGGAACACCAGUGGCGGAGGCGACUCUCUGGUCUGUAACUGACGCUGAGGCUGGAAAGCGUGGGUAGCAAACAGG